Molecule: ribosomal RNA, 438 nt
Filed under: uncultured bacterium
Lineage: Bacteria
Description: partial 16S ribosomal RNA
Rfam family: Bacterial small subunit ribosomal RNA
Source: RNAcentral
AGCGAACGCUGGCGGCAGGCCUAACACAUGCAAGUCGAACGGAUCCUUCGGGAUUAGUGGCGGACGGGUGAGUAACACGUGGGAACGUGCCCUUUGGUUCGGAACAACUCAGGGAAACUUGAGCUAAUACCGGAUGUGCCCUUCGGGGGAAAGAUUUAUCGCCAUUGGAGCGGCCCGCGUCUGAUUAGCUAGUUGGUGGGGUAACGGCCCACCAAGGCGACGAUCAGUAGCUGGUCUGAGAGGAUGAUCAGCCACAGUGGGACUGAGACACGGCCCAGACUCCUACGGGAGGCAGCAGGGGGGAAUAUUGCAAAAGGGGCGGAAGCCUGAUGCAGCAACGCCGCGUGGGGGAUGACGGCCUUCGGGUUGUAAACCGCUGUCGCCUGGGACGAAGCGUGAGUGACGGUAAUGGGUAAAGAAGAACCGGCUAACUACGUG